Molecule: ribosomal RNA, 887 nt
Filed under: uncultured Sebacina
Lineage: Eukaryota; Fungi; Basidiomycota; Agaricomycetes; Sebacinales; Sebacinaceae
Description: eukaryotic LSU rRNA
Rfam family: Eukaryotic large subunit ribosomal RNA
Source: RNAcentral
UCAAUAAGCGGAGGAAAAGAAACUAACAAGGAUUCCCCUAGUAACGGCGAGUGAAGAGGGAAAAGCUCAAAUUUUGAAUCUGGUGUCUUUGGCGCCCGAGUUGUAAUCUAGAGAAGUGUUUUCCGCUUUGGACCGUGUACAAGUUCCCUGGAACGGGGCGUCAUAGAGGGUGAGAAUCCCGUAUAUGGCACGGACUACCAAUGCUCUGUGAUACACUCUCAACGAGUCGAGUUGUUUGGGAAUGCAGCUCAAAAUGGGUGGUAAAUUCCAUCUAAAGCUAAAUAUUGGCGAGAGACCGAUAGCGAACAAGUACCGUGAGGGAAAGAUGAAAAGCACUUUGGAAAGAGAGUGAAACAGUACGUGAAAUUGUUGAAAGGGAAGCGUUUGAAGUCAGUCAUAUCUGGCGGGAUUCAGCCUGGCUUUUGCCUGGUGUACUUUCCGUCCGAUGGGUCAGCAUCAAUUUUGACCGGGGGAAAAAGACGUUGGGAAUGUGGCUGUCUUCGGGCAGUGUUAUAGCCCGGYGUUGUAUGCCUCGGUUGGGAUUGAGGAAAGCAGCGCGCCUAUAGGCUGGGGGCUAACGCCUCUCAACACGCGCUUAGGAUGCUGGCAUAAUGGCUUUAAGCGACCCGUCUUGAAACACGGACCAAGGAGUCUAACAUGUGCGCAAGUGUUUGGGUGUCAAACCCGAGCGCGUAAUGAAAGUGAAAGGUCGGGAUCCUUCAUUGGUGCACCGACGCCCGGAGCAGACCUUUUGUGACGCAUCCGCGGUAGAGCGUAUAUGUUGGGACCCGAAAGAUGGUGAACUAUGCCUGAAUAGGGUGAAGCCAGAGGAAACUCUGGUGGAGGCUCGUAGCGAUUCUGACGUGCAAAUCGAUCGUCAAAUUUGG